Molecule: ribosomal RNA, 567 nt
Filed under: uncultured bacterium
Lineage: Bacteria
Description: partial 16S ribosomal RNA
Rfam family: Bacterial small subunit ribosomal RNA
Source: RNAcentral
UGGGGAAUUUUGGACAAUGGGGGAAACCCUGAUCCAGCCAUCCCGCGUGUGCGAUGAAGGCCUUCGGGUUGUAAAGCACUUUUGGCAGGAAAGAAACGUCGCGGGUUAAUACCCCGCGAAACUGACGGUACCUGCAGAAUAAGCACCGGCUAACUACGUGCCAGCAGCCGCGGUAAUACGUAGGGUGCAAGCGUUAAUCGGAAUUACUGGGCGUAAAGCGUGCGCAGGCGGUUCGGAAAGAAAGAUGUGAAAUCCCAGAGCUUAACUUUGGAAACUGCAUUUUUAACUACCGGGCUAGAGUGUGUCAGAGGGAGGUGGAAUUCCGCGUGUAGCAGUGAAAUGCGUAGAUAUGCGGAGGAACACCGAUGGCGAAGGCAGCCUCCUGGGAUAACACUGACGCUCAUGCACGAAAGCGUGGGGAGCAAAACAGGAUUAGAUACCCUGGUAGUCCACGCCCUAAACGAUGUCAACUAGCUGUUGGGGGCCUUCGGGCCUUGGUAGCGCAGCUAACGCGUGAAGUUGACCGCCUGGGGAGUACGGUCGCAAGAUUAAAACUUAAAGGAAUUG